This is a long non-coding RNA of Oxyura jamaicensis (ruddy duck), 149 nucleotides long. RefSeq lists it as uncharacterized. NCBI's taxonomy places the organism in Eukaryota, Metazoa, Chordata, Aves, Anseriformes, Anatidae. The transcript is spliced from 3 exons. The record is from RefSeq and is a predicted model, not a curated record.
CCCAUCAACUUGCGUACAUCCAAAUGCUGUAGCACGUCGCCAACCAUUUCCUUGUGGAUUGUGGGGGCCACAUUCUUCUCCCCAUCCCCUUCCACCAGCUCAGGGUACUGAGUAUCCAGAGAAUAACUGCUAGAACAAAAAAUAAGGAU